Molecule: ribosomal RNA, 540 nt
Filed under: Paradiplococcium singulare
Lineage: Eukaryota; Fungi; Ascomycota; Sordariomycetes
Description: eukaryotic LSU rRNA
Rfam family: 5.8S ribosomal RNA (bases 183-336)
Source: RNAcentral
GAACCUGCGGAGGGAUCAUUAAGAGUUCUAAAAAGACUCCCUAAACCCACUGUAUACCUACCUAUAUCGUUGCUUCGGCAGGCGGUCCCAGGGCGGGACCGCAGCCGUGAGGCGCCUGCCGAUGGAAACCAAAACUCUUUUGUCUUAAGUGGUAUUCUGAGUAACAAAACAAAAUAAAUCAAAACUUUCAACAACGGAUCUCUUGGCUCUAGCAUCGAUGAAGAACGCAGCGAAAUGCGAUAAGUAAUGCGAAUUGCAGAAUUCCGCGAGUCAUCGAAUCUUUGAACGCACAUUGCGCCCGCUAGUAUUCUGGCGGGCAUGCCUGUUCGAGCGUCAUUUCAACCCUCAGGCCUUGAUUGCCUGGUGUUGGGGCAUCUAUAGCGUCUAUAGGCCCUGAAAGACAGUGGCGGGCUCGCCGCAACUCCGAGCGCAGUAGUUACUUCUCGCUUAGGCGUUGUGGCGGGUGCUGGCCGUUAAAAAACCCCUAUAUUUACAGUAGUUUGACCUCGGAUCAGGUAGGAAUACCCGCUGAACUUAAGC